RNAcentral lists this ribosomal RNA (425 nucleotides) under uncultured bacterium. RNAcentral's name for it is "bacterial SSU rRNA". It matches the Rfam family "Bacterial small subunit ribosomal RNA", at positions 354 to 796 of the family's 1533-position model. The record is from RNAcentral.
GUGGGGAAUCUUGCGCAAUGGGCGAAAGCCUGACGCAGCCAUGCCGCGUGAAUGAUGAAGGUCUUAGGAUUGUAAAAUUCUUUCACCGGGGACGAUAAUGACGGUACCCGGAGAAGAAGCCCCGGCUAACUUCGUGCCAGCAGCCGCGGUAAUACGAAGGGGGCUAGCGUUGCUCGGAAUUACUGGGCGUAAAGGGCGCGUAGGCGGACAGUUUAGUCAGAGGUGAAAGCCCAGGGCUCGACCUUGGAAUUGCCUUUGAUACUGGCUGUCUUGAGUACGGGAGAGGUGAGUGGAACUCCGAGUGUAGAGGUGAAAUUCGUAGAUAUUCGGAAGAACACCAGUGGCGAAGGCGACUCACUGGCCCGUUACUGACGCUGAGGCGCGAAAGCGUGGGGAGCAAACAGGAUUAGAAACCCCAGUAGUCC